This 301-nucleotide ribosomal RNA is filed under the name uncultured bacterium. RNAcentral's name for it is "partial 16S ribosomal RNA". It matches the Rfam family "Bacterial small subunit ribosomal RNA", at positions 509 to 807 of the family's 1533-position model. The record is from RNAcentral.
CAGCCGCCACGGGAAUACGUAGGUGGCAAGCGUUAUCCGGAAUUAUUGGGCGUAAAGCGCGCGUAGGCGGUUUCUUAAGUCUGAUGUGAAAGCCCACGGCUCAACCGUGGAGGGUCAUUGGAAACUGGGAAACUUGAGUGCAGAAGAGGAAAGUGGAAUUCCAUGUGUAGCGGUGAAAUGCGCAGAGAUAUGGAGGAACACCAGUGGCGAAGGCGACUUUCUGGUCUGUAACUGACGCUGAUGUGCGAAAGCGUGGGGAUCAAACAGGAUUAGAUACCCCAGUAGUCCCUGUCUCUUAUAC